AAUGGUCCGGUGAAGUGUUCGGAUCGCGGCCUGUGGGCGGUUCGCCGCCGGCGAGUCGCGAGAAGUCCACUGAACCUUAUCAUUUAGAGGAAGGAGAAGUCGUAACAAGGUUUCCGUAGGUGAACCUGCGGAAGGAUCAUUG
Molecule: ribosomal RNA, 142 nt
Filed under: Buxus liukiuensis
Lineage: Eukaryota; Viridiplantae; Streptophyta; Magnoliopsida; Buxales; Buxaceae
Description: partial 18S ribosomal RNA
Rfam family: Eukaryotic small subunit ribosomal RNA
Source: RNAcentral